AUCUAAUUAGUUUAUAAAAAUAUUAAAUUGUGGAUUUAAAGAUGAGUAUUCAUUAGAUA
This 59-nucleotide transfer RNA is filed under the name Alectorobius amblus. RNAcentral's name for it is "tRNA-His". The record is from RNAcentral. Lineage: Eukaryota; Metazoa; Arthropoda; Arachnida; Ixodida; Argasidae.